Molecule: RNA transcript, 1188 nt
Organism: Gossypium raimondii (Peruvian cotton)
Lineage: Eukaryota; Viridiplantae; Streptophyta; Magnoliopsida; Malvales; Malvaceae
Gene name: ankyrin repeat-containing protein ITN1
Exons: 6
Source: RefSeq, a predicted model, not a curated record
CACUCCCCAAACAUAAUUUUUGAUUACCCCGCUCAUUACUCCCUCUUUUUCUCAUAUCCAUCGAGCGCCCUAAAUGCUCCCAAAUAAAAGUUUGUACUUAAUUCUUUUUCCAUUUCCCAUUUUCCCUUUCAAUCAGAUCUUUCUGAGUAAGAAGAAGAAAAAUUAGUACUUUCUUUCCAUUGAAGAACUAGAAAUGAAACAGGAUUUCAAGGGAAAAUGUCAAGAGAAAAACUAAGAAGAGCCGCACUUCCUCCUGUUCAAGAGGUGUUCUUUUUUAUUUCUAUUGCUUUCAGUAUAUAUUUCUUAGAUUAUUUCUGUUGAUAAUAGUUGUAGGAGUUUGAGUGGUGAUUCUUUACAAGGUGUGGAGUUCACGUGGAUCGAUCAAUGCUGAAGAUUCCUGAGAUGGACAUUGAUUCUCAGAUGAUGAAGACUGCGAGUGGGGAAGAUUUCAAUAUGGAGGUUUCAGAGAUACAGGCUAGUGUGGUAAACGAGGUGAAUGAGUUGGGGGAGACUGCCUUGUUUACUGCUGCAAAGAAAGGGCAUCUUGAUGUUGUCAAGGAGUUGUUAAAAUACUCAAACAAAGAGACCGUUACUAAGAAGAACAAAUCUAGGUUUGAUCCAUUGCAUAUUGCUGCAAGCCAAGGGCACCAUGUGAGAAUGAUGCGGUGCCAUCCUUUUGAGGCAGAUGCGGCUAUUGUGAUGCUCCCGGACAAGUUCGGUAACACUGCACUGCAUGUCGCCACUAGGAAAAAGAGAGCAGAGGUGAUCAUUGAAAGGGAUUCAAGGACAGACCUCCCAGAUAUAGAGAAGAGUAGGCUUGCUGAGGCAGCUAGCAUUGCUGAACAGUCGCAUUAUUUAACACCAAAACCCAUAUUUUACGGGUUUUUCAAAGAAGAAAAAUGCUGAGAAUAGAUGGUCUCUGCAAAAAGAUGGGCUACAAGGAUGCCAAGUUACAGAUGCUUUACGGGCUCUGAUAUCCAAUGGCGUUGAAGCGGGGACUACCCAGUGUGGGCGUCCAAAGGAACAGAAGUUCUGGAUCUCGUUUGUGUAUCGUGAUUCUUUUUUUCUUCUCAAUUCUGAUGCUCAUUGCUUUGAGUUCAUUACAAGAUUUCCUUGAUUAAAUAAAUGUAUUAUUUCUUUUAUUACCAAGAUUUACUUGAUUAAGAAAAUGCAUUGUAUGUUUUAUUA